UACGUAGGGUGCGAGCGUUGUCCGGAAUUAUUGGGCGUAAGGGGCUCGUAGGCGGUUUGUCACGUCGGGAGUGAAAACUCAGGGCUUAACCCUGAGCCUGCUUCCGAUACGGGCAGACUAGAGGUAUGCAGGGGAGAACGGAAUUCCUGGUGUAGCGGUGAAAUGCGCAGAUAUCAGGAGGAACACCGGUGGCGAAGGCGGUUCUCUGGGCAUUACCUGACGCUGAGGAGCGAAAGUGUGGGGAGCGAACAGG
Molecule: ribosomal RNA, 253 nt
Filed under: uncultured bacterium
Lineage: Bacteria
Description: partial 16S ribosomal RNA
Rfam family: Bacterial small subunit ribosomal RNA
Source: RNAcentral